GCCCCCCGGGGGUCCCGUCCUGCCCCACCCCCCUGACCCCACGGCUGCUCCCUGCAGGUGCAGCGCAUCAAGCAGCUGAGCUGCGGGCUGCGGCAGGCGCUGGAGGGCGGCGUGGAGGGGCUGCGGCCCCCGGAGGUGGGUGGGGGUCUGUGGGUCCUCCGUGUCACCCCACUGUGUCCCUCUGUGUCCCAUCAUGUCCCUCUGUGUCCCUCUGUGUCCCAUCACGUCCCUCUGUGUCCCAUUGUGUCCCAUUGUGUCCCAUUGCAUCCCUCUGAGUCCCAUUGUGUCCCAUUGCAUCCCUGUUUCCCAUCGUGUCCCAUUGCGUUCCUCUGUGUCCCAUCGCAUCCUUCUGUGUCCCAUCGUGUCCCUUUAUGUCCCUCUGUGUCCCAUCGUAUCCCAUUGCAUCCCUCUGUGUCCCAUCAUGUCCCAUCAUAUCCCUCUGUGUCCCAGUGUCCCAUCACGUCCCUCUGUGUCCCAUCACGUCCCUCUGUGUCCCAGUGUCCCACUGAAUCCCUCUGUGUCCCAUUGUGUCCCAUUGCAUCCUUCUGUGUCCCAUCGUGUCCCUUUAUGUCCCUCUGUGUCCCAUUGUGUCCCAUCAUGUCCCAUCUUGUCCUUCUGUGUCCCAGUGUACCAUUGAAUCCCUCUGUGUCCCAUCAUGUCCCUCUGUGUCCCAUUGUGUCCCAUCCUGUCCCUCUGUGUUCCAUUGUGUCCCAUCAUGUCCCAUCUUGUCCCUCUGUGUCCCAUCAUGUCCCUCUGUGUCCCAGUGUCCCACUGAAUCCCUCUGUGUCCCAUCAUGUCCCAUUGUGUCCCAUCGUAUCCCAUUGCAUCCCUCUGAGUCCCACUGUGUCCCAUUGCAUCCCUGUAUCCCAUUGUGUCCCAUUGGAUCCUUCUGUGUCCCAUCGUGUCCUAUUUCAUUCCUCUGUGUCCCUCUGUGUCCCGUUGCAUCCCUGUGUCCUAUCGUGUCCCAUCAUGUCCCAUUGUAUCCCUGUGUGUCCCAUCGUGUCCCACUGUGUCUGAUCACGUCCCAUUGUGUCCCUCUAUGUCCCUGUGUGACCCAUCGUGUC
This 1064-nucleotide long non-coding RNA is filed under the name Phasianus colchicus (ring-necked pheasant). RNAcentral describes it as "lncRNA (ENSPCLG00000017089.1)". The record is from RNAcentral. Lineage: Eukaryota; Metazoa; Chordata; Aves; Galliformes; Phasianidae.